ACACACACACACACAUACAUAGUGAACUCUGGUUAUGUAAGGGAUAAUGCCCGACGAGGUGUCCAUUAUCAGAAAUAAAUGGAGGACGCGGAGGCGUGAACUGUCCGACGCGAAGCGGAGUCCAUUUAUUUCUGAUAAUGGACGCAUCGAAGGGCAUUAUCCCGUUUAUACCAUGGUCACUUACGAAAUAAAUAAAUAGGAAAUCAAUUAUGAAUACUAAAUGAGUUUUAGAGCUAAAAUCGUUAGUUUUCUCAGCUGUUUAU
This is a long non-coding RNA of Alosa sapidissima (American shad), 263 nucleotides long. RefSeq lists it as uncharacterized. The transcript is spliced from 4 exons. Lineage: Eukaryota; Metazoa; Chordata; Actinopteri; Clupeiformes; Clupeidae. The record is from RefSeq and is a predicted model, not a curated record.